RNAcentral lists this ribosomal RNA (449 nucleotides) under uncultured bacterium. RNAcentral describes it as "partial 16S ribosomal RNA". It matches the Rfam family "Bacterial small subunit ribosomal RNA", at positions 329 to 797 of the family's 1533-position model. The record is from RNAcentral.
UGCCAGACUCCUACGGGAGGCAGCAGUGGGGAAUAUUGCACAAUGGGGGAAACCCUGAUGCAGCAACGCCGCGUGAGUGAAGAAGUAUCUCGGUAUGUAAAGCUCUAUCAGCAGGGAAGAAGAUGACGGUACCUGAGUAAGAAGCCCCGGCUAACUACGUGCCAGCAGCCGCGGUAAUACGUAGGGGGCAAGCGUUAUCCGGAUUUACUGGGUGUAAAGGGAGCGUAGACGGCCAGGCAAGUCUGGAGUGAAAGCCCGGGGCUCAACCCCGGGACUGCUUUGGAAACUGCCAGGCUGGAGUGCUGGAGAGGCAAGCGGAAUUCCUAGUGUAGCGGUGAAAUGCGUAGAUAUUAGGAAGAACACCAGUGGCGAAGGCGGCUUGCUGGACAGUAACUGACGUUGAGGCUCGAAAGCGUGGGGAGCAAACAGGAUUAGAUACCCCAGUACUA